This 497-nucleotide ribosomal RNA is filed under the name uncultured bacterium. RNAcentral's name for it is "partial 16S ribosomal RNA". It matches the Rfam family "Bacterial small subunit ribosomal RNA", at positions 28 to 507 of the family's 1533-position model. The record is from RNAcentral.
GAUGAACGCUGGCGGCGUGCCUAAUACAUGCAAGUCGAGCGAACAGACGAGGAGCUUGCUCCUCUGACGUUAGCGGCGGACGGGUGAGUAACACGUGGAUAACCUACCUAUAAUACUGGGAUAACUUCGGGAAACCGGAGCUAAUACCGGAUAAUAUAUUGAACCGCAUGGUUCAAUAGUGAAAGACGGUUUUGCUGUCACUUAUAGAUGGAUCCGCGCCGCAUUAGCUAGUUGGUAAGGUAACGGCUUACCAAGGCAACGAGGCGUAGCCGACCUGAGAGGGUGAUCGGCCACACUGGAACUGAGACACGGUCAAGACUCCUACGGGAGGCAGCAGUAGGGAAUCUUCCGCAAUGGGCGAAAGCCUGACGGAGCAACGCCGCGUGAGUGAUGACGGUCUUCGGAUCGUAAAACUCUGUUAUUAGGGAAGAACAAAUGUGUAAGUAACUAUGCACGUCUUGACGGUACCUAAUCAGAAAGCCACGGCUAACUACGUG